UUUCUGUGGCAUGUUUUCAUGGUGUGGGAAUAAGACUUGGUGGUCAAAUACAGCUAAUAUGUAGGUUAGCACCACAGCUUGUCUGCAAGGAUUGAAGCUGGGAAACGGCCAUUGGAGCUGAAUUUUAUGAAAGCUGUGGCUGCAGCAAUGAUUAUGUGAUAAAACUGAAGAAUGUUAUUCAAAUUUUUUUUGUAUAUAUUUCAAAAAAUGUAAUUUUUUAUAAAAAAAAAAAAAAAAAAAAAAAAAAAGGUGUAAAGAUUCUCCAUUUUCAAUUAGAUUGGAAGCUUGUAUUUACAAUUGUUAGAUCUUCUUCGUUAUUCCCCCACCCCCUGUAUCUCUAUUUCAUUUUUACUUUGAAAAUGAAAUGGAGCAGACAAAUUUUACUUGUCAACUUAAUAAUGGUCUGUCUAGUCAAAAGGCCUCCAGUUGGUUUAGAAUGGAGAAUCUAAAAAAAAAUAUGUAAAGUGGUUUUUUUUAGUUUCCUGAAUUUUUAUAUACAUUUUGUUAUUGCUCCCUUUUAAUUGUUAUAAAUUCCAGAUUUUAAGUUUUGAAUUUAUGGGGCUUUAUUCAUA
This is a long non-coding RNA of Mytilus trossulus (common blue mussel), 572 nucleotides long. RefSeq lists it as uncharacterized. Lineage: Eukaryota; Metazoa; Mollusca; Bivalvia; Mytilida; Mytilidae. The record is from RefSeq and is a predicted model, not a curated record. The transcript has 3 exons.